Molecule: ribosomal RNA, 564 nt
Filed under: Triticum aestivum (bread wheat)
Lineage: Eukaryota; Viridiplantae; Streptophyta; Magnoliopsida; Poales; Poaceae
Description: partial small subunit ribosomal RNA
Source: RNAcentral
AUGCCCCACCGCCACCCCCACCCACCCGCCGCUGAUCCACCAUCACGCUCGGUAGCGCCGCCCUCCUCCUUCUCUCUGCAGUCCAUGGCCGGCACCGCAGCCUCGUCCCCACAGCUGCUCCGCAGCGCCUCCGACGACCGCGCCCGGAGCGCGACAGUGGCAUCAUUCCGAGCACAUGACGCCACGCUCCGCCGGGGCUCCUUCACCGUCCGCGGCUCCUCCAGGCUCUGCACCUUGCCGACUCCCCCUUCGUCACGGCCUCUCGUCCAUGCUAGAGGCAGCCACGUCCUCGAUGGUUGCUGCUGGAUUCUACCCCUCCAAGUUGCUCGGACGCCUCCCCAACUCUCCAUCCUCCCCAACAAGGUCGCUGCCAUCACCAAAAGCCAGGAUGAAGGCCAGGAAGCCCUACACCAUCACGCCCGGGAGAUCUGGACCGAGCCCGAGCACGACAAGUUCCUCGAGGCGCUGCAGCUGUUUGAUCGUGAUUGGAAAAAGAUAAAAGCAACAUCGGCCACUUGUGGUGGUCCGAAGGCCUCCGGGCGCCGCAGCACCACGCUGUCCUGA